RNAcentral lists this unclassified non-coding RNA (272 nucleotides) under Hevea brasiliensis (rubber tree). The record is from RNAcentral. Lineage: Eukaryota; Viridiplantae; Streptophyta; Magnoliopsida; Malpighiales; Euphorbiaceae.
AUUGCAGAAGAAACAGGAAAUUCUCUUAAGGAAAGAUGGUAUUGGUACAUGAGGAAAUUCCCUACUUUUCCUUGUAAAUAUCUUCCUUGUUUUCCAUAUUAAAACAAAAUGUACAUAAUACACAUCACUAGGUUUUCUGCUUAGCUCCCAAGAAGCACCGAAUAGGUUUAAUAGAAUUAUGAACACAAAAUAGAUUGGCCGCAACACAGAUGAAAAUGAUAGGACUUUGUUAGUGAGGGUACCUGGUUUUGGAAGACGGAAAAUAAUCAACA